GAAAGACAGAAAGAGAGAGUAAGGAAGAGAAAGAGAAAGACAGAAAGAGAGAGUAAGGAGUGGAGAAAGAGAGUAAGGAGUGGAGAAAGACAGAAAGAGAGAGUAAGGAGAGGAGAAAGAGAGAGUAAGGAGUGGAGAAAGACAGAAAGAGAGAGUAAGGAGUGGAGAAAGACAGAGAGAGAGAGUAAGGAAAAGAGAAAGAAAGACAGAGAGAGUAAGGAGUGGAGAAAGACAGAAAGAGAGAGUAAGGAGAGGAGAAAGAGAGAGUAAGGAGUGGAGAAAGACAGAAAGAGAGAGUAAGGAGUGGAGAAAGACAGAAAGAGAGAGUAAGGAGUGGAGAAAGACAGAAAGAGAGAGUAAGGAGUGGAGAAAGACAGAAAGAGA
Oncorhynchus tshawytscha (Chinook salmon) is the source of this 384-nucleotide long non-coding RNA. The record is from Ensembl. NCBI's taxonomy places the organism in Eukaryota, Metazoa, Chordata, Actinopteri, Salmoniformes, Salmonidae.